This is a non-coding RNA of Neolamprologus brichardi, 909 nucleotides long. NCBI's taxonomy places the organism in Eukaryota, Metazoa, Chordata, Actinopteri, Cichliformes, Cichlidae. The record is from RefSeq and is a predicted model, not a curated record.
GGAUUCAGCAGGAGAUAUUGAGGCCACAUCAGGAUGUCCACAAUGCAGUUGGGCUCCAGUUUCAGUGGGGGGGCUCCCAUACUAACAGGACUCUGCUCAGUUGCCUUGGCGUGGACACAAGAAACGUUGUGUUCACUGGGAGGAAUAAGCAGUCUGUGACUGUGCCUGCUUUUGCAUCCAGCCUGGGAAUGCUUGAGCCAACCAAAGAUGCUGUGCCAGCUGCCUGCUCUUCAGGAAGCACAGCUGUUACAGCACAAGCACCUCCAGAGCCCCGGGAUAUACCGGGCCCCUCAACACAUUCAGCGCAGGAGGAGCUCCCUUCCAGCCAGCUGGACUGGAGCGGUCGUGGCCUUAGCAGCUCUCAGGACGGUACGUCCCCUCGCCGAGCCCCACAUUUCUGGGGUCGGAAGUAGACUACCAGUCAUGGCUUCUAUUAUCAAACCAAACCUUUUGUUAAGAUUUAACUCUGGGCUUCUCACUAUCUUCACAGCAUGUGCUUUUUCUCUUUGAAUUUACUGUGUUUCCCCUUAAGGCACUUUGCAGUAAUACGGGAUCACAACAUGUCAUCAAAAUAUAAUAUUUUCCUUUAAUAAUAAUUUCCUCUCAAGAAUAACAAUCAUCCAGUAUUUUGAAAUUAUGACCAAAAACAGGGGAAACACUGUGCUGAUCUCCCUUUUUGCCCUUUUUCUUCACCUGUUGUAUUUACCUGUUGUCCUGUUGAGAAAAGAUUUAUCUCAGUAUUUAUCAGUCUAAUUUAUUUAUGGACAAUUUCUAAUGAACUCACACCUGAUGUGUAAGAAGCCUAUUGAAGACAUGAUGUGCAUACUAACCUGUUUCUUUUCUGUUUUGUGGUUGACUCACUGAGCAUGAAAAUAACAUGCACUCUGAAUAAUUAACAGAUUUGUUCUU